AUUAGGUUGGUGCAAAAGUAAUUGCAGUUUUUGCCUUUAAAAGUAAUGGCAAAAACCACAAUUACUUUUGCACCAACUUAAUAUUU
This 86-nucleotide microRNA precursor is filed under the name Saimiri boliviensis boliviensis (Bolivian squirrel monkey). RNAcentral's name for it is "miRNA (ENSSBOG00000002981.1)". The record is from RNAcentral. Lineage: Eukaryota; Metazoa; Chordata; Mammalia; Primates; Cebidae.